UACGGAGGAUGCAAGCGUUAUCCGGAAUUAUUGGGCGUAAAGCGUCCGUAGGUGGUUGGCCAAGUCUGCUGUCAAAGGGUGGGGCUUAACCUCAUAAAGGCAGUGGAAACUGGCGAGCUAGAGUGCGGUAGGGGUAGGGGGAAUUCCCAGUGUAGCGGUGAAAUGCGUAGAGAUUGGGAAGAACAUCGGUGGCGAAAGCGCCCUGCUGGGCCUGCACUGACACUGAGGGACGAAAGCUAGGGGAGCGAAAUCG
Molecule: ribosomal RNA, 253 nt
Filed under: uncultured bacterium
Lineage: Bacteria
Description: partial 16S ribosomal RNA
Rfam family: Bacterial small subunit ribosomal RNA
Source: RNAcentral